Molecule: ribosomal RNA, 444 nt
Filed under: uncultured prokaryote
Description: partial 16S ribosomal RNA
Source: RNAcentral
CCCUACGGGGCGCUGUGUAGUACAUGGAACUGCUAGACACAUCAGAAGUUACGGCCUUCAUGCACGACUACCCGGAAAUGGUGUCUCGCCCGGAACAAGGCUUCGUGGUAGUUUUAAAAGGAACGUUCAAAUUCUCGGCAGAAGCCGAGGGAAUGGGCGUUAUUAAAGAUUCCUAUUGCCUCGUAAUCAAAUGCCUAAAGGGUUUUCCAAAAGAAACUCCCUUAGUCUUUGAGACGGCAGGAAGAAUCCCGCGUGACAGUAAACAUCACGUCAACCCUGAUGGGUCCUUAUGUUUGGGAUCGCCUUUACGGCUAAAGUUGAUUCUUGCCAACAACCCAACGUUGGCUGGCUUCACCGAGAAGUGUUUAGUGCCUUGGCUCUAUAGCAUGUCAAAACACUUAUUACACAGCGCGCCGUUUGUGUUUGAUGAAUUGGCGGGGGAGC